ACUCCAUCUUCCUUCGGUUUCUGGAAUACAGUAGGAAGUUCCCACUGAUUUUAUCUUGAUUUUUUUGCACACUCCCACAAUCAUCAACAGCAUUACAUCCACAAAUAAACAUGCAUUUAGGUACUCAUAUGUGCCUACACACAGUAUGCCAAUCUUAUAGUGUAACUCAUGCUCACUCACAUACACACAUUAUCUUGUCUAUGAUGCCUCCAGGGGUGAGGUUUAGGCUGGGGCUGUAAGGCCCAGGGGUCUUUGAACUUGUCUAAGCAAACUUGCUAAAAACGUUCAGAUGCCCAGGGCCUAUCCAAGAUGUACAGGAUCAAAGUCUCGGAAGGUACUCAAGAAUCUGCACGUUCGUGUGUUCUUGCAGUGAGUGUACUGAAACCAGUCCACUCUGCUGCAGGUGAUGAGCAAACAGGCACUGACAGCAUGACUCCCUGCCCACUCUGGGGGAACAGAGGUCCAGGAAAUGCUUUGGAAAAAAAAAUGUUUGUUUGGAAAAGUUGUAUACUAUAACCACUGCCACUCCCUCCUUAAGGAUUCACUCUGUCUAUCAAAGGCUCUGACAAGUUCUGCAGUACAGAAUCCUGCUUUCUAAGCCCUGGCGGGGUGGCUCAGUUGUUGGAGCAUCAACCUGCACACCAAAAGGUGGCUGGUUCGAUCCCCUGUCAGGGCAUAUGCCUAGGUUUCAAGCUCCAUUCCUGGUCAGGGAGGCAACCGAUGAGUGGAAGGCAACCAAUGAAUGAUCGAUUUUCUCUCUGUAUCUCAAAAUCAAUAAAAAUAUAUCCUCAGGACUAGACUGUGAGUGGAGGACUAUCAGUGGACUUCUACACAAAGAAAACUUUCCCCCUGCCUAGUAUUAGGAAGAGGGGAAGAAUUGGAAGGAGGGGACAUAAGAGACUUAAAAAUUCCCUUUGUCAUAAUAGGAAAGAAUAACAUCUAAAACCACCAUGAGAAAGAAACAUACUUACAUCACUGAGAAAGGAAAAGAACUGGAGGUGGUUUCCUUUGGGGUGGGGAAUGCACUGGUAGUUUUUGUGUAAGACUUUGAAUUUAUCAUUUUUUAUGUAUUAAAUGCAUGUAUUACUAUAAUAGAAGCUAAAUUUUAAAAU
Pipistrellus kuhlii (Kuhl's pipistrelle) is the source of this 1112-nucleotide long non-coding RNA. RefSeq lists it as uncharacterized. The record is from RefSeq and is a predicted model, not a curated record. Lineage: Eukaryota; Metazoa; Chordata; Mammalia; Chiroptera; Vespertilionidae. The transcript has 2 exons.